UGGGGAAUUGUUCGCAAUGGGCGCAAGCCUGACGACGCAACGCCGCGUGGAGGAUGAAGACCUUCGGGUCGUAAACUCCUUUCGAUCGAGACGAACGGCCUUCGGGUGAACAAUCCGGAGGAGUGACGGUACCGAGAGAAGAAGCCCCGGCUAACUCCGUGCCCGCAGCCGCGGUAAUACGGGGGGGGCAAGCGUUGUUCGGAAUUACCGGGCGUAAAGGGCUCGUAGGCGGCCAACUAAGUCGGACGUGAAAUCCCUCGGCUUAACCGGGGAACUGCGUCUGAUACUGGAUGGCUUGAGUUCGGGAGAGGGAUGCGGAAUUCCAGGUGUGGCGGUGAAAUGCGUAGAUAUCUGGAGGAACACCGGUGGCGAAGGCGGCAUCCUGGACCGACACUGACGCUGAGGAGCGAAAGCCAGGGGAGCAA
This 425-nucleotide ribosomal RNA is filed under the name uncultured bacterium. RNAcentral describes it as "bacterial SSU rRNA". It matches the Rfam family "Bacterial small subunit ribosomal RNA", at positions 355 to 771 of the family's 1533-position model. The record is from RNAcentral.